RNAcentral lists this ribosomal RNA (495 nucleotides) under uncultured bacterium. RNAcentral's name for it is "partial 16S ribosomal RNA". It matches the Rfam family "Bacterial small subunit ribosomal RNA", at positions 28 to 507 of the family's 1533-position model. The record is from RNAcentral.
GACGAACGCUGGCGGCGUGCCUAAUACAUGCAAGUAGAACGCUGAAGGAGGAGCUUGCUCUUCUGGAUGAGUUGCGAACGGGUGAGUAACGCGUAGGUAACCUGCCUGGUAGCGGGGGAUAACUAUUGGAAACGAUAGCUAAUACCGCAUAACAGUAGAUGUUGCAUGACAUUUACUUAAAAGGUGCAAUUGCAUCACUACCAGAUGGACCUGCGUUGUAUUAGCUAGUUGGUGGGGUAACGGCUCACCAAGGCGACGAUACAUAGCCGACCUGAGAGGGGGGGCGGCCACACUGGGACUGAGACACGGCCCAGACUCCUACGGGAGGCAGCAGUAGGGAAUCUUCGGCAAUGGACGGAAGUCUGACCGAGCAACGCCGCGUGAGUGAAGAAGGGUUUCGGAUCGUAAAGCUCGGUUGUAAGAGAAGAACGAGUGUGAGAGUGGAAAGUUCACACUGUGACGGUAUCUUACCAGAAAGGGACGGCUAACUACGUG